Non-coding RNA from Triticum aestivum (bread wheat), 135 nucleotides. The record is from Rfam. Lineage: Eukaryota; Viridiplantae; Streptophyta; Magnoliopsida; Poales; Poaceae.
GAUUUACUCCCUCCGUCCGGAAAUACUUGUCAUCAAAAUGAAUAAAAGGGGAUGUAUCUAGACGUAUAUUAGUUCUAGAUACAUCCCUUUUUAUCCAUUUUGAUGACAAGUAUUUUCGGACGGAGGGAGUAAUUA